Molecule: long non-coding RNA, 1603 nt
Organism: Onychostoma macrolepis
Lineage: Eukaryota; Metazoa; Chordata; Actinopteri; Cypriniformes; Cyprinidae
Exons: 3
Source: RefSeq, a predicted model, not a curated record
GUCAAUCUAAAGAAGCUCGUGAUUUCUCUCGUGGAACACAUGUGAUGGCCAUCUCUUUGACCAUUAAUCUUGAUUAUUUGUCCUAAAUUUGACAAUCUCCUUCCUGCGUUGGAUUUAUCAAUAAGUGUUCUUUUGUCUUAAUGUUGCAAGCUGUCCUGUGAAAGAGGAUUGUUAGUUAGGCUGUGUUAUGGUUGGUUGGAGAUGAUUGGAGCUAGGAAUCUGAUUUAUGACGUCCUGUUGCGGCCCCUCUGGAAUUUCGGCUCCUCAUGUUUCGAUGUUCUGAUCGAAUCUAAAAUUGUCUGAUUUGUUCUGAUCCUACAUACAUUACACAUUUAUGAGCACGUAACCCAACCCCUGCCCCUAAACCUACCAUUUAUCAAUAAAACAGAAGAUAUAACAGACAGACACAACUACCGUCAUAAUUUAUUCAAAAAGUAUUAAUGUUCCAAGUCUUCCGAGGCAAAACGAUUGAUUUGUGAGAGGAAUAGACGCGAUCGCCAUCGCCGUCUCCGUCCGCCGUAAAGCUCUUCCUAUGUGCUUGGAAUACAACACGACUUGUUUGUAAUGCUUUUAUACUGCUUGUUUAUGGUCAUUUUGCAAUAAAUACUUGUGACUGCACUUAUAUUUGCCUGUAUGUGUUUUAUAGUGGGUAGGUUUAGGGUAGGGGUAGGUUAGGUGCUCCAGUGAAAGUAUAAAUUUAUAUACAAAUAUAACUGCAUCUGAGUCACUCUUUUUAUGUGGUUGUAAAGGAUGGGUUGUUUUGUGUGCUCAACGGAUGAACAGUGUGGGAAUGGAACAGGAGGGGAAGAUUUUCAAGGUUGAAAGUGAUAUAAACUAACACCAUUGUCUCUUGGGAAAGCACAGAGAGAGUCUAUCCCAUAGACUUUUGAAUACUGGUGUUUUUCCACUGGAAUGUAAAUUAAUUUAAUGUAGCAGAUUAGAUGUAACCAUUUUGAUGUAGCCAUUCUUAAAGUUCAGAAUUCUGAUGUCAUAUAUUGCGAAACCUUAGAGAUAUUGGUAAAUAGUAACUCAUCUUUUUCUGUAAUUAAAACGAAGUGCACCCAAUUGGGAGGGGGAGUGAGCCUGGCCAGUUUGCUUUCUCUCUCACUUGGAGGGUUGUUCUUAAACCGCACCUAAAUUUUAAAGUAUAAAAAAAAGGGGUUUCUUUCAAUGACAGUGGAAGCUCAGCCGUGGGAUAAGUGCACGUCGCCCGGCAUUCUCGGACAAGUGUUGGUCUUCUACUGUGACUGAAACGGGCUCCCCAGUCUUUUGAAAGUGAAGAUGAUGGCACGGCUCUGAGGCAACUGCAAUGAAGCAUCAAGACAGACAUGAGCAGGCCAGCCACCCUGAGACUGAUAACUCAUGAGAAGACUGGAUGGUGAGCAAAGAUGGUGGCCACGUUUUGGAGCAGCACCUGGGUUUUGCAGAUGGCUAUGUAUUCUUUGGCUGUUUGUCUUUUUCCCCCAUUAUGUUUCUGUUGCCUAAAGAUUCUUUGUGAGGAUGAACCCAGAGGACACAACAUAAUGCACUGCAAAACGUCCUAAGACAGGAGACAUGGUGAAGAUGCACUGUUCCAGCAUUGGAAGUCUGUAUUUUUAAGUGU